GGGCUCAUGGCCUAAUGGUAAGGCGUCAGAUUUCGGUUCAUGACCCGCCCUCUGAAAAUUGCAGGUUCGAUCCCUGCUGAGCUCG
This 85-nucleotide transfer RNA is filed under the name Hypoxylon crocopeplum. Its description in RNAcentral is "tRNA-Arg". It matches the Rfam family "tRNA". From Rfam's summary of the family: Transfer RNA (tRNA) molecules are approximately 80 nucleotides in length. Their secondary structure includes four short double-helical elements and three loops (D, anti-codon, and T loops). Lineage: Eukaryota; Fungi; Ascomycota; Sordariomycetes; Xylariales; Hypoxylaceae. The record is from RNAcentral.